GUGAAUCAUCGAAUCUUUGAACGCAAAUUGCACUCUCCGGUUUUCCGGGAAAGUAUGCCUGUUUGAGGGUCUGUUUAAAAAAUAAUCGAGUCUGCUGCUGUGGUGGCGCUUCGGAAGUUGGUCAUCUUCCACCUUUCGGGGUUGUAAGCGACCUAAAAUUUUUCUUACGAUUCCUACUAACGUGUCUAAGAAUUUUGCUUAUACGUUCGCUACAUCGAAUUCAUAUUAGGGCCGACCGCCGCGUCGG
Molecule: unclassified non-coding RNA, 247 nt
Filed under: Glomeraceae sp.
Lineage: Eukaryota; Fungi; Glomeromycota; Glomeromycetes; Glomerales; Glomeraceae
Description: partial contains 5.8S ribosomal RNA and internal transcribed spacer 2
Rfam family: 5.8S ribosomal RNA (bases 1-72)
Source: RNAcentral